RNAcentral lists this ribosomal RNA (253 nucleotides) under uncultured bacterium. Its description in RNAcentral is "partial 16S ribosomal RNA". It matches the Rfam family "Bacterial small subunit ribosomal RNA", at positions 524 to 776 of the family's 1533-position model. The record is from RNAcentral.
UACGUAGGGUGCAAGCGUUGUCCGGAAUUAUUGGGCGUAAAGAGCUCGUAGGCGGUUUGUCGCGUCUGCUGUGAAAACUCGGGGCUUAACCCCGGGCCUGCAGUCGAUACGGGCGAGCUAGAGUUCGGCAGGGGAGACUGGAAUUCCUGGUGUAGCGGUGAAAUGCGCAGAUAUCAGGAGGAACACCGGUGGCGAAGGCGGGUCUCUGGGCCGAUACUGACGCUGAGGAGCGAAAGCGUGGGGAGCGAACAGG